RNAcentral lists this long non-coding RNA (800 nucleotides) under Fukomys damarensis (Damara mole-rat). RNAcentral's name for it is "lncRNA (ENSFDAG00000024628.1)". The record is from RNAcentral. Lineage: Eukaryota; Metazoa; Chordata; Mammalia; Rodentia; Bathyergidae.
AGAGAGUCAGAGGAAAGGAGACACAGAGAAGAAAGGGAGAUGGCUACAGCAAGGGGUUUUGUCCACUUCCUUCAAGGAUUCCUUGGAACCUAGUAGGUGGAGCGUAGCAAAUGAACAUUUCAGCUUCUGUCUUAUAGCAGACAUUGAAAGGCAUGAUUCUGUUUAAUUCUCUCUACGGCCUUUGAUGUUGGGAUUAUCAUCACUAUUUCAUAGAUAAAGAAAUUAAUUCAAACAGAAUAACUUCUCCAUUCCCAAGCAGGAGAUUCGACCGUGGCGGAGCUGGAGGACAGGGCCUGCGCUGGUAAUGACAAGGUUCCAGGACGUAAGAGCUGAACCGUUCCGAAGCCCCGCCUAUGGACCAGCCAAUCGGAAAGGGCUGUCUUCAGUCCGGGUUGGGCCGGAGCAAGUUUCCGGAGUUUCUUGCCAACCGUUGCCAGCGCAUUCUUAAUUGAUAAUGAAAUGCAAAGCCUAAUGUAAACUCACUACACAGAAGUUGGACACCCGAUUUCAUUAUGAGGCAGAAUUCUGAAACCACAAGCAAUAUUGGGGACAGUGCCAGAACCUGGUCUCAACUUGACUACAGACAGCCUGCAAACUGCCUUCACCGGGGAACAAAUCUUAACACUUGAUCAUAAUAUGGUUUUGUUAAAGUGAAAUUCAUCUCGUGUGCUUUUUUCCUUCACUGUCUAUUUAAAUCCUCUAAAUUCCUUGUGUGUUUGUGGUAUGAAUGGUCAAAAAUGAUGUGGAAAGAAUUGUUUCCUAUAACAGACACUGGUCAUUAGAGAAUCAUGAUAAUCACG